This 71-nucleotide small nucleolar RNA is filed under the name Microcebus murinus (gray mouse lemur). RNAcentral describes it as "Small nucleolar RNA SNORD56 (ENSMICG00000046245.1)". It matches the Rfam family "Small nucleolar RNA SNORD56". From Rfam's summary of the family: U56 belongs to the C/D class of snoRNA which contain the C (UGAUGA) and D (CUGA) box motifs. Most of the members of the box C/D family function in directing site-specific 2'-O-methylation of substrate RNAs. The record is from Rfam by way of RNAcentral. Lineage: Eukaryota; Metazoa; Chordata; Mammalia; Primates; Cheirogaleidae.
CUGCAACGAUGGCAGUAUUUUUCAUUAAUAGUAGUUCACCUUGUGAGUGUUGAUACUUUGGAUCUGAGUGA